Gasterosteus aculeatus aculeatus (three-spined stickleback) is the source of this 1656-nucleotide non-coding RNA. NCBI's taxonomy places the organism in Eukaryota, Metazoa, Chordata, Actinopteri, Perciformes, Gasterosteidae. The record is from RefSeq and is a predicted model, not a curated record.
UUGACUGCAGUAUCUUAUGCGCCUUAUAAUCCGGUGCACCUUAUAGUGCGGAAAAUACGGUACUGUACUGAGAAAAACUGUUGUUGAAAAACUAGACAUGUCUUGUUGUAAGGAACUGAAUGUAUUAAAUGUAGCCUAUUGUUUUAUUAACUGCCUACUCUCCUAAGGAGUCAAAAAGUGUUCUGAGUACAAUUUAUGAAUAUUGAAUGAAAGGAAGGCUUGAUCCCAUUUGUGUUCAUCUAAUAAGCUAUACAAUUCUGCUUGGAGCAUCUUUUUUUACACACAAUGUAACAUUUCUACUUUUGUUCUAGGCAUACAAGUGCACCUGAAAUAAUUGAAAAUUUGGGGCUUCCCAUGGACCACAGCAAAGUCAGCAGAUUCACCGUGUCCAGAUCUAAUCUAAAGGUUUUCAGCGUUGCACGUACUCCGAGGAGAAUGACAUGUUUGUGGAGUUUACCGAUGAUGCUGGCUCCCAUGAAGAAGGUGUAGAUACUGGCGGACCGAGGCGGGAAUUCCUCACGCUUCUGAUGAAUGAUCUUUGACGGACCUCCAGAAAGCCGUUACCUGGUGUACAACUGUACAGGUCCAGGAAGCAGAAUCUGUGGAAUCUCCAUGCAAAAUGUUCUUUUGCAAAACAGCGCAUGUUCCAGACUGCUGGAUACUUCCUCCAUGUGAAGACCUCUGAGGACCAGCAAACUCUUGUGGAGGAAUACCUCAGAUGGUAUAUUCUACACAGAAACCAGAGUGUUAUUCAAAGGUAAUAGUCCUAAAAGACUCAUCCUCUGCCUCCAUUCAUCAAAAAUAUUUCAAUCACAUACUUUCCAGUCCCAUGACUUAUCACUUGAAUACUUUAAAAGUGGCUACAAAUAAGAUUGUCUGACAUUCACAAAUGGUAAAGUAUGUUUAGUGAAAAGCUUGUUUGUCGGUUGAGUGUUUUGAGUUUUCAGUCCCAGGAAGACUGGUAACUUUUAACUCUGGUAUAGUUACCAGGGUAACUAAAACCAUAUGGUAAUUGUUCCUUUCCGCACUCCAGCAGCAUCCGUGUGUGUUGGCCCCACUCUUGUGCCACUCUCAGACAAACCUUACAGCUGCCGACAUGAAAAGCCUGUUCACACCACUGCUCAGUCCAACAGGAAGUAAUAGUCGGCAGAAAGAAGACAAAGCCCUUGGCUUUUGGGCAGAUAGCUUUUUUAUAUGGUGUUUGUAAAAAGUGAACCUUUUUUUUCACACUGUGUUAACUUAAUUUACUUGUUGGACGAUAAAGACACUCAGACACUCUGAAAAGGAGACUGCUGUGUCCCUGGAGGAUGUGCUGAUGUUUGCUACAGGGCUCGCAUCAACACCAAAAAAACAGCCAUCGAGUUCUCAAGAAAUUCACCAUUUCCCAUGUCAAACACUUGUGCAAAUAGACUGAAGCUCCCUCUCCUUGAAACCUACAGUGUCUUUAAGACAAACAUGGAGUUUGACUUACAGAACCCUCCAGGCUUUGGGUGCAUUUAAUUCUGUGCCAUGUCUGGAUUUUUGUCAUGUCUUUGAACAUGCAGUUCAUAAAGCAUACAAAGAGUGCAUGCUCAGUUCAGUUCCAAGUUUUUGAAUGAUUGUUAUUGCCGUUCUUUACUUAAGUGAACCUGAUCAUCAAUAAACAGCUAAGCCACA